AACGCGAAGAACCUUACCUGGCCUUGACAUGCUUUGGACUGGCGGUGAAAGGCGCCUUCUCUUUGGAGCCGGAGCACAGGUGCUGCAUGGCUGUCGUCAGCUCGUGUCGUGAGAUGUUGCGUUAAGUCGCGCAACGAGCGCAACCCCUGUCCUUAGUUGCCAUCGGGUAAUGCCGGGCACUUUAAGGAGACAAACUCUCUUUGAGAGUGGGAAGGUGGGGAUGACGUCAAGUCAGGAUGGCCCUUACGGCCAGGGCUGCACACGUACUACAAUGCCCGGUACAGAGGGACGAUACGCCGCGAGGCGAUGCAAAUCUCAAAAA
This 322-nucleotide ribosomal RNA is filed under the name uncultured Verrucomicrobium sp. RNAcentral's name for it is "bacterial SSU rRNA". It matches the Rfam family "Bacterial small subunit ribosomal RNA", at positions 958 to 1280 of the family's 1533-position model. Lineage: Bacteria; Pseudomonadati; Verrucomicrobiota; Verrucomicrobiia; Verrucomicrobiales; Verrucomicrobiaceae. The record is from RNAcentral.